CAAAGAAUUGACGGGACCCGCACAAGCAGCGGAGCGUGUGGUUUAAUUCGAGGCUACACGAAGAACCUUACCAGGGUUUGACAUGCAAGUGGUAGGAAUCCGAAAGGUGACCGACCCUUCGGGGAGCUUGCACAGGUGCUGCAUGGCUGUCGUCAGCUCGUGUCGUGAGAUGUUCGGUUAAGUCCGCUAACGAGCGCAACCCUCGUCGUGUGUUAUACGUGUCACACGAUACUGCCGGUAUCAAGCCGGAGGAAGGUGGGGAUGAUGUCAAGUCAGCAUGGCCUUUAUAUCCUGGGCUACACACACGCUACAAUGGCAGAUACAAUAGGUUGCGAAACCGCGAGGUGGAGCCAAUCCUACAAAGUCUGUCUCAGUUCAGAUUGUAGGCUGCAACUCGCCUGCAUGAAGUUGGAGUUGCUAAGUAAACGCAGGUCAGCUAUACUGCGUUGAAUACGUCCGGGUUU
This 464-nucleotide ribosomal RNA is filed under the name uncultured Leptolinea sp. Its description in RNAcentral is "bacterial SSU rRNA". It matches the Rfam family "Bacterial small subunit ribosomal RNA", at positions 904 to 1381 of the family's 1533-position model. Lineage: Bacteria; Bacillati; Chloroflexota; Anaerolineae; Anaerolineales; Anaerolineaceae. The record is from RNAcentral.